Long non-coding RNA from Cyprinus carpio carpio, 1296 nucleotides. NCBI's taxonomy places the organism in Eukaryota, Metazoa, Chordata, Actinopteri, Cypriniformes, Cyprinidae. The record is from Ensembl.
UAAGAGUCCUGGACUGAAGACAUUUACAUGCCGAUAUUCAGUUAUAAUCAUAGUGCCACCAGUUGGCAGCAGGAAAUGUGGCACAAAUAUUUACCUUUUUAUAAGCAUAUGGCCCAACGUUCGCUGUUCUCCUAUGGCCACCGGUUGGUGGUGAGCCCGGGUGCGAGGGCCCUUUCAUCGCUGCUUGCAGCUUUAAUUAGGGCCCGAGCACCGAUGGUGUGAGGACCCUAUUGUAUCUGCUUUGUUUAUUCUUCUUCUUCUUCUUCUUCUUCUUCUUCUUCUUCUCCAAAAUGAAUCGCAUUUUUGAGGGCCUAAACAUGCUCGAAAAGUCCUGAAACUUUGCACACGCGUCAGACCUGGUGAAAAUUUACGUCUGAUAUAGGUUUCAGAAGAGGGUGUGGCAAAAUGGCUCGACAGCGCCACCUAUCCUAAAAGAAUCAACAGCCCUCCCGCUGUGUUUCACGUACAUGCACGAAAAUUGACACACAUAUGUAAAGCAUCAGUACCUACAAAAAAGACUCUUGGAGCAAUAUCCGAAACCCAACAGGAGGUCGGUUAUUUUUAAUUUUAUGAGCAAAUUUUUGCAUCAUUUUUGUCAUUUGCAUGCCUUGUAUUUUAACGAACUCCUCCUAGAGAUUUAUUCAGAUCAACACCAAAUUUGCUCGAGGCGCACUCCGUUGAAAAUGUAUAGGUGGCGCUAUCGAGGCAUUUUGCCACACCCAAUGGAAUAUUGGCCUUCAGAUGUGUUCAGGCCAGGACUCUUAUCAAACAUGUGAAGUUUGGGCAAGAUCGGACAUUUUAUGCCUGAGUUAGAAUAACUUUUAUUCCCAUGGCGAGACAUCGAACUUUGUGACGGCGCCAUGGACACGCCCUUUAACGAAAACUCAAGAUCUUCACAAUUUAACAUCGCACAGGCCUUUAGAAUAGAGUGACUGAAAAAAAAAGAAUUAUGUCAUAAAAUUUCUCGGGGUAGUUCGUUACAGCGUAAAAUAUGUCACUUCCUGUAGCCAGUAGGUGGCGCUAUGACUAUAACUGAAUAUGGGCAUAUCAAUCUGUUCAGGUCAGGAGUCUUAUCAAACAUGUGAAGUUUGUGGCAGAUUGGACAUUGUAUGUCUGAGUUAUAGCAACUUCAUUUUUCAUGGCGAAUCAUCGAAAUUCGUCAGGCCGCCACGGACACGCCCUUCAACGAAAACUCAAGAUCUUCGCAAUUUAACAUCGCAAAGGCCUUUAGAUUAGGCAUACCAAACUUGGUGUUGAUCUGAAUAAAUCUCUAGGAGGAGUUCGUUAAAAUACAAG